Aricia agestis (brown argus) is the source of this 90-nucleotide long non-coding RNA. RefSeq lists it as uncharacterized. The record is from RefSeq and is a predicted model, not a curated record. Lineage: Eukaryota; Metazoa; Arthropoda; Insecta; Lepidoptera; Lycaenidae. The transcript has 3 exons.
GUUAUGGAAAUUAUGUUUUUUAUAUUGGAUAUCCGAUAGUUUCGGUUACGGAGCUCCCUGACAUCCUUGGGUGCCUACUCAAGAUGCAUC